This 850-nucleotide ribosomal RNA is filed under the name uncultured bacterium. RNAcentral describes it as "bacterial SSU rRNA". It matches the Rfam family "Bacterial small subunit ribosomal RNA", at positions 44 to 911 of the family's 1533-position model. The record is from RNAcentral.
ANGGNNGCUUCCAUGCAGUCGUACGAGAAUUUUUAAUUCAAGUGGCGGACGGGUGAGGAACACGUAAGAAUUUGCCUUUAGGAGGGGGACAACAACUGGAAACGGUUGCUAAUACCCCAUAUGCUUUUGAGUGAAAUGGAUUUUUCCGCCUAGAGAGAAGCUUGCGGCUGAUUAGCUUGUUGGUGAGGUAAUGGCUUACCAAGGCGACGAUCAGUAUCUGGUUUGAGAGGACGAUCAGACACACUGGAACUGAGACACGGCCCAGACUCCUACGGGAGGCAGCAGUGGGGAAUAUUGGACAAUGGGGGCAACCCUGAUCCAGCCAUGCCGCGUGUGUGAAGAAGGCCUUCGGGUCGUAAAGCACUUUCAGCGAGGAGGAAGGGAUGUUGAUUAAUACUCAGCAUUUUUGACGUUACUCGCAGAAGAAGCACCGGCUAACUCCGUGCCAGCAGCCGCGGUAAUACGGAGGGUGCAAGCGUUAAUCGGAAUUACUGGGCGUAAAGCGCGCGUAGGUGGCGAGGUCAGUCAGCUGUGAAAGCCCCGGGCUCAACCUGGGAAUUGCAACUGAUACUGCCUGGCUCGAGUACGGUAGAGGGGUGUGGAAUUUCCUGUGUAGCGGUGAAAUGCGUAGAUAUUGGAAAGAACACCGAUGGCGAAGGCACUUUACUGGGCUAUUACUAACACUCAGAGACGAAAGCUAGGGUAGCAAAUGGGAUUAGAUACCCCAGUAGUCCUAGCCGUAAACUAUGGAUACUAGAUGUUGGACAGAUCGACCUGUGCAGUAUUAAAGCUAACGCGUUAAGUAUCCCGCCUGGGAAGUAUGCUCGCAAGAGUGAAACUCAAAGGAAUU